UUUCCGUAGGUGAACCUGCAGAAGGAUCAUUAAAGUUAUAGUCCCCCGGCCCCUCCGGGCUGGGGUCUUCUAUACCACCCUUUGUUUAUUACACCUUUGUUGCUUUGGCAGGCCUGCCCUCGGGCUGCUGGCUCCGGCCGGCUCGUGCCUGCCAGAGGACCUAAACUCUGUUUGUAUAUGAAGUCUGAGUACUAUAUAAUAGUUAAAACUUUCAACAACGGAUCUCUUGGUUCUG
Molecule: unclassified non-coding RNA, 235 nt
Filed under: plant metagenome
Description: partial contains small subunit ribosomal RNA, internal transcribed spacer 1, and 5.8S ribosomal RNA
Source: RNAcentral